RNAcentral lists this ribosomal RNA (253 nucleotides) under uncultured bacterium. Its description in RNAcentral is "partial 16S ribosomal RNA". It matches the Rfam family "Bacterial small subunit ribosomal RNA", at positions 524 to 776 of the family's 1533-position model. The record is from RNAcentral.
UACGGAGGGUGCAAGCGUUGUUCGGAAUCACUGGGCGUAAAGGGCGCGUAGGCGGUUUGAUAAGUUAGAGGUGAAAGCCCACGGCUUAACCGUGGAAGUGCAUUUGAAACUGUCAGACUUGAGUAUCAGAGAGGAAAGUGGAAUUCCCGGUGUAGAGGUGAAAUUCGUAGAUAUCGGGAGGAAUACCGGUGGCGAAGGCGGCUUUCUGGCUGAAUACUGACGCUGAGGCGAGAAAGCGUGGGGAGCAAACAGG